ACCUUUAUCCUCUGUAAGUCGCUUUGGAUAAAAGCAUCUGCUAAAUGACUAAAU
Non-coding RNA from Larimichthys crocea (large yellow croaker), 54 nucleotides. The record is from Rfam. Lineage: Eukaryota; Metazoa; Chordata; Actinopteri; Sciaenidae.